UCACUGGGUAAAGUUUGUCCCA
This 22-nucleotide microRNA is filed under the name Bactrocera dorsalis (oriental fruit fly). Its description in RNAcentral is "bdo-miR-309a". Its record names the gene bdo-miR-309a. The record is from miRBase by way of RNAcentral. Lineage: Eukaryota; Metazoa; Arthropoda; Insecta; Diptera; Tephritidae.